RNAcentral lists this transfer RNA (92 nucleotides) under Anaerolineales bacterium. RNAcentral's name for it is "tRNA-Ser". It matches the Rfam family "tRNA". Rfam says of the family: Transfer RNA (tRNA) molecules are approximately 80 nucleotides in length. The record is from RNAcentral. Lineage: Bacteria; Bacillati; Chloroflexota; Anaerolineae; Anaerolineales.
GGGGAGGUGCCAGAGUGGUCGAUUGGGGCCGCCUGCUAAGCGGUUGACGGGGCAUAAAACCUCGUCCGCGGGUUCGAAUCCCGCCCUCCCCG